This is a long non-coding RNA of Peromyscus eremicus (cactus mouse), 1586 nucleotides long. RefSeq lists it as uncharacterized. Lineage: Eukaryota; Metazoa; Chordata; Mammalia; Rodentia; Cricetidae. The record is from RefSeq and is a predicted model, not a curated record. The transcript has 3 exons.
CAGCUCGUGCGUCACGACGCCGCCAGCUGAUCGGAGACUGGAGCCGGUGUGUGCUGGGCGAUGGGAAGAGACAGAGCGGUCGGCCGUGCGGAGAGGACGCAGUGAUUUUGCUCCCCUGUCCUCAGCAACCCCCACACCCAGCAUCAGGAACCUGGGCCUCCCACACUCUCACCUGGCUGAGCCGCAGUAGUUCUUCAGUGGCAAGCUUUAUGUCCUGACCCAGCUAAAGCUGCCAGUUGAAGAACUGUUGCCCUCUGCCCCUGGCUUCGAGGAGGAAGAGGAAGAGCAGCUUCUUUGCCUACCAUCUGGAAGUGUGUCCCUCCAGCACUGGGCUCAUGGCUCUGCUAUCUUCACCCAAAAUGGAGCCUCAGAGGUGAGGAAGGGCAGCCUGGAAACACAGAGGCAGGAAGAAGACCAGUGAAGGACCUGGCCUGGAGCCACAAGGGCCUGUCCCAGACAUUGGUCAGAGGGGCACACAGAAGCCUGGAGAACACCAGGAAACAGAACAGCCAGCCUCCGUGAAAGACAAGCUUCCAGCCAUCUCCUCUCCAGACCUACUUCCCUUGGAGAUGAAGACCCAUAAUGAAGUAUGGUCCUGUCUCUUCUCUACCCCGCAGUUUCUAUAUAAUGACCCUGGAGGAGCAUGAGCCACCUCUGAAAGGAAAUACAGAGCAAAUUCAAAGAGAGACUCAAAUGUGUAACACUAUGGAAAAACAUAGUUUUGGCUGGGGCUGUAGCGGAGUUGGGAGAAUGCUUGUUCAGCAUGCACAGAGUCCUGGUUCUAUUUGCAUUGCCUAGACCUGGGUGUGGUGGCACAGGCCUAUAAUCCCAGCACCCUGGAGGUGGUGGUAAGAGGAUCCUACAUCCAAGGUCAUCCUCUGCUACACAGUGAGUUCUGAGCCAGCCUGGACUACAUAAGACACUUGUCUCAAAAAAAAAAAAAAAAGCAAUUAAAAGAAGGCUGACAUUGCUGGAAGCAUUUCCCCUCAUCAUGGUACAAGUCAGUGGAGGCCGAAGGAACACUCCCAUACGUUGUGGGUAGUGGCGUCAAACAUUGUAAGAGAUGUCUUUUGGCCUUGUAAUUUUGUGGUUCUAGAAAUGUAUCUUAAAAUCAGAGUUUGGUUAUAAAAUGCUCAUCUCAGGGAUGAUGUUUGGAAAUCCAUUCUUUUUCUGCUGUUUGGAAAUCUAUUCCUUUUCUGCUGUCAUGAAAAUUCGCAGUGGGGGGUUGCUUGAGUGAAUUAUAUUCAUCCCAGUGGUGGAGUACUGCACAGCCAUCCAGAGUCCUGCAGAAGAAAAAUUGACUGGAAAGAAAAAUGCUCUUUGAAUAUUAAAAAGAUUAUAAAAAGUGUGAGUUUUGUGACCUUAAUUUUGUCUUUAAACAAUUUGUUUUAAAAUAUGAGUGCAUACUUGUAAUACAUAGACUAAAAAAAAAGACUCAAAGUAGACUCAAAAUGUUAGGAGUGGUUAUUUUUGAAUGGUGGGAUAGAGCAAUUGUGAGUUUCCCCCUUGUUUUCCAGUCAUUCUAAGUUUUCUAUACUAAUUGUAUAUUGCUUUUGCAUGUUAAAUAAAUGAUAACGAAAGGUAAA